Molecule: ribosomal RNA, 795 nt
Filed under: Triticum aestivum (bread wheat)
Lineage: Eukaryota; Viridiplantae; Streptophyta; Magnoliopsida; Poales; Poaceae
Description: partial small subunit ribosomal RNA
Source: RNAcentral
GCCUUAUCCUCUCCCCCGUCACUCUUUUCCUUACUGGGCUACUUUUUCCCCAUCCCCAUCAUCUUCACUGAGAGAGAGAGAGAGAGAGAGAGAGAGUCGAGCUGGAGCAGCCGCACCUUGCCGCCGCUCACCGGUGGGGCCUCGCCGCGCCCCGUCGGUGGCUUAGAUUUCGGGGAGGCGCUCGAGGGGAGCGACGGCGCCGGCGACCUGGGAGGCGGCGGAGGUGCUGCUCGCAGGAAGCGGCGGUGGCCGGUGGCGGCGACUGACACACUAGUGGAGCUGUUCAACGCCGCAGCAGGGGACUACCACGGCUCCGGCAAGGCGCCUGCGCUGCAAGCAGGGAGCGACGCCGGCGACGACCUGGGAGGCAGCGGAGGUGCUGCUAGCAGGGAGCGGCGGCGGCGGCGGCGACCGCCCCGCCAGUGGAGCUAUUCAACGCCGCAGCGGGGCCCUACAACGGCUCCGCCACGUUGCCUGCGCAGGGGCCUACCACGGCGCCGCGAUUUCCUCUGGCAUGUCGACAAGGUGGACUUCUACCUCGGCGCCGUCUUCGGGAGCGUCGAGACGGUGAUGGUGGUGGUCGUGCUCAUCUCGGUGCUGCUCUUCUUGGCGCGGCCGAGGACGACGGUGAUGAGCAACGUGCCAGAGACGACCAUCUACCGGCGGAUGGACCAGUACACGACGUGCCCGGCGUGCUUGUGCUGCGUGUGGAAUCGACCAUCUACGGCACCCUGCGCAAGAGGAUCACCCGAUGGAUUGACGACGACGAACGGACCUCGUCCUCGACAUGUGUGA